CCAUGGAUGCUCACCGCUUGUCGCACAUGGACCGGGAACCAAAUCAUUUUGAAUUGGCAGAAAAGCUGUUCUCUCAGCAACUUCAACAACAUCCACAUAGUUUACUGUCUGCUCAUAACAGCCACGUGAAUGAAGCAAUGCUGGAAAGAGGGGCAAGCCAUAAUUCAGUACACCACCCACAGGUUGCCAGUCAAAUUGAGCAGGAUUUGGAACGCGUUAUGGCCAGCCACGUGAAUGAAGCAUUGCUGGAAAGAGGGGCAAGCCAUAAUUCAGUACACCACCCACAGGUUGCCAGUCAAAUUGAGCAGGAUUUGGAACGCGUUAUGGCCCUUCAGCUGCAGCACCAG
RNAcentral lists this long non-coding RNA (347 nucleotides) under Nicotiana benthamiana. Its description in RNAcentral is "long non-coding RNA (NBEN_LNC036398)". Lineage: Eukaryota; Viridiplantae; Streptophyta; Magnoliopsida; Solanales; Solanaceae. The record is from RNAcentral.